GGUAAGUAAAUCAACUGGAUUUCUAUAUGCUAUCAUUUAUCAUUUACUGUGGGCAUGCAUCGUGAAAUUCAACAUUUGAUGCAAUAGACUUCGGUUUUAGCUUUAGGUUCCAGUUCUUGUGGGAUCAGAACUGAAGUUUAUGGUUCCUCUGUUAGGUCAUACUUAUUAAUCAAGUUUAGUUUAGUUUUAUUUAUUUAUUUUUUAU
This 205-nucleotide unclassified non-coding RNA is filed under the name Hevea brasiliensis (rubber tree). The record is from RNAcentral. Lineage: Eukaryota; Viridiplantae; Streptophyta; Magnoliopsida; Malpighiales; Euphorbiaceae.